CCUACGGGUGGCAGCAGUGAGGAAUAUUGGUCAAUGGCCGAGAGGCUGAACCAGCCAAGUCGCGUGAGGGAAGAAUGUCCUAAGGAUUGUAAACCUCUUUUGUCGGGGAGCAAAAAGGCUCUGCGGAGUCGUAUUGAGAGUACCCGAAGAAAAAGCAUCGGCUAACUCCGUGCCAGCAGCCGCGGUAAUACGGAGGAUGAGAGAGUUAUCCGGAUUUAUGGGGGUUAAAGGGUGCGCAGGCGGCGUGUCAAGCAAGCGGGAAAAGAGCGGGGCUCAACCCCGUCGGGCCGUUUGAACUGGCGCGCUUGAGUUCAGGCGGGGUAGGCGGAAUUCUUGGUGUAGCAGUGAAAUGCAUAGAUAUCACGAAGAACUCCGAUUGCGAAGGCAGCUUACCAGUCUGCGACUGACGCUCAGGCACGAAAGUGUGGGUAGCGAACGGGAUUAGAUACCCCUGUAGUC
This 459-nucleotide ribosomal RNA is filed under the name uncultured bacterium. RNAcentral describes it as "partial 16S ribosomal RNA". It matches the Rfam family "Bacterial small subunit ribosomal RNA", at positions 338 to 795 of the family's 1533-position model. The record is from RNAcentral.